UAAUAAUAUUUCAACGCGUGUACCGACAUGCCCCUCGUCGAAUAAACCGGUUAAUUUAGGUUAAAAUAAAGUUCUUUAAUGUUCACGUUCUUAAGAAAAGUUCGGAGGAAAACCGAUAUAAACCGGUAUUAACCGGUAUUUUUUAAACCGGUUCCGAGCCUUGCCCGAGACCCCUUGCCCGGCAGUCGCACUUGCAACCACACGGCCAACGAGGCAGUCUAGUAUAAAGCUAAUUUUAAAGUUGACAUAAUAUGAACAAUAUUCGUUGUGUGACUGGUCAACUAUCACAGAUAGAUUACAGAUUCGUGUCGUUAAUGGCUAUGAAUCCUACCGUACUGUGCUGACUCAGGAAUUCCCCAGAGUUCUCAUCUUGCUUCAGUCCUGUUAUACUCUUCAUUAAUAAUAUUACUGACUAAAUCCAUCACUGUAAACAAAUUCUAUAAAUAAACAAACAAUACUAUAAUACUACAAAUAAACAAACUAUUUGCGGACGAUCUCUCGUCUCAAAAUCUAUCAUAUCCGCAUCAUUGUUACAAAAUCAGCGCAGCUUCUAGGUUUUCUUAAGAGGUUUAGGCUCACCAGGGGGUACAGGCUGGUAAGAACAAAAAUUGUUUUAUAUAACGCCUUAGUUUGCCAGUGUAGUAUGGAUCCCGCACUACGCAGUACAUUCGCAAAGAAUAGAAAGCUUCCAGAGAGCCUUCACAAAACAUUUAGCAUGUAUCUUCGGUGAUAUAUCUCCCCGGGCCCGUAGGAACAACGUAUUCAGUUAUGAUAUGAAUUUUGGACCUUUACAAAUUUGUCAAUAAUAAAUUGGACUGUGACAAACUAAUUGAACAAAUAGGACUAAUGUUGCCCCAUAAGUUGCCCAGAUAUCCCAUUCCACACUAAAGUAUCAAAUACCAAUUUAGGUAUGAGUCUUUAAAGCCCGAAUACUUGAAUACCAGAGCUCGCAGCUCAAAUCGAUCAUAUUAAUCCAUUCACUAUAACUUUAAUCCGAGGUGAAAGCCCCCAGGCGCUCCACUAUUUAAUGUAUCCCUUAAACGAAGAUUGUCAACGAGUCUUACAGUUUAUAUCUAAAAAUACAUAUAUAUUUCUUUUAGUCUUAAGUUAUCAUUUAUCAAAAUUGUUGGUUAACCUGUAAUUGGCGACUGUACAAGCCCAAAACUAAUUUAUAUGUAUUUUCUGUACUUUAAUAUAUUUAAUAAAUUAAUAUUAUACACAUUUAA
This is a long non-coding RNA of Spodoptera frugiperda (fall armyworm), 1226 nucleotides long. RefSeq lists it as uncharacterized. Lineage: Eukaryota; Metazoa; Arthropoda; Insecta; Lepidoptera; Noctuidae. The record is from RefSeq and is a predicted model, not a curated record. The transcript has 2 exons.